RNAcentral lists this ribosomal RNA (991 nucleotides) under Bacillus subtilis subsp. subtilis. Its description in RNAcentral is "bacterial SSU rRNA". It matches the Rfam family "Bacterial small subunit ribosomal RNA", at positions 533 to 1533 of the family's 1533-position model. The record is from RNAcentral. Lineage: Bacteria; Bacillati; Bacillota; Bacilli; Caryophanales; Bacillaceae.
AGCGCUCUUUUCCCGGCAUUUGUGGGCGUAAGGGCUCGCAGGCGGUUUCUUAAGGCUGAUGCGAAAGCCCCCGGCUCAACCGGGGAGGGUCAUUGGAAACUGGGGAACUUGAGUGCAGAAGAGGAGAGUGGAAUUCCACGUGUAGCGGUGAAAUGCGUAGAGAUGUGGAGGAACACCAGUGGCGAAGGCGACUCUCUGGUCUGUAACUGACGCUGAGGAGCGAAAGCGUGGGGAGCGAACAGGAUUAGAUACCCUGGUAGUCCACGCCGUAAACGAUGAGUGCUAAGUGUUAGGGGGUUUCCGCCCCUUAGUGCUGCAGCUAACGCAUUAAGCACUCCGCCUGGGGAGUACGGUCGCAAGACUGAAACUCAAAGGAAUUGACGGGGGCCCGCACAAGCGGUGGAGCAUGUGGAUUAAUUCGAAGCAACGCGAAGAACCUUACCAGGUCUUGACAUCCUCUGACAAUCCUAGAGAUAGGACGUCCCCUUCGGGGGCAGAGUGACAGGUGGUGCAUGGUUGUCGUCAGCUCGUGUCGUGAGAUGUUGGGUUAAGUCCCGCAACGAGCGCAACCCUUGAUCUUAGUUGCCAGCAUUCAGUUGGGCACUCUAAGGUGACUGCCGGUGACAAACCGGAGGAAGGUGGGGAUGACGUCAAAUCAUCAUGCCCCUUAUGACCUGGGCUACACACGUGCUACAAUGGACAGAACAAAGGGCAGCGAAACCGCGAGGUUAAGCCAAUCCCACAAAUCUGUUCUCAGUUCGGAUCGCAGUCUGCAACUCGACUGCGUGAAGCUGGAAUCGCUAGUAAUCGCGGAUCAGCAUGCCGCGGUGAAUACGUUCCCGGGCCUUGUACACACCGCCCGUCACACCACGAGAGUUUGUAACACCCGAAGUCGGUGAGGUAACCUUUUAGGAGCCAGCCGCCGAAGGUGGGACAGAUGAUUGGGGUGAAUCGUAACAGGGGAAACCGUAAAGGGGGGGGUUUUGGGGUU